This 253-nucleotide ribosomal RNA is filed under the name uncultured bacterium. Its description in RNAcentral is "partial 16S ribosomal RNA". It matches the Rfam family "Bacterial small subunit ribosomal RNA", at positions 524 to 776 of the family's 1533-position model. The record is from RNAcentral.
UACGAAGGUCCCGAGCGUUGUUCGGAAUCACUGGGCGUAAAGCGUCCGCAGGUGGCAGUUCAAGUCUGCUGUCAAAGACCGGGGCUCAACCUCGGAAAGGCAGUGGAAACUGAACAGCUAGAGUAUGGUAGGGGCAGAGGGAAUUCCUGGUGUAGCGGUGAAAUGCGUAGAGAUCAGGAAGAACAUCGGUGGCGAAGGCGCUCUGCUGGACCAUAACUGACACUCAGGGACGAAAGCUAGGGGAGCGAAUGGG